GAUGUAGAACGUAGCGAAAUGCGAUACCUGGUGUGAAUUGCAGAAUCCCGCGAACCAUCGAGUCUUUGAACGCAAGUUGCGCCCGAGGCCACCCGGCCGAGGGCACGCCUGCCUGGGCGUCACGCCAAAACACGCUCCCACCCCCCCUCACCGGGGGAGCGGGACGCGGCGUCUGGCCCCCCGUGCCGCGAGGCGCGGUGGGCCGAAGAUCGGGCUGCCGGCGUACCGUGCCGGGCACAGCGCGUGGUGGAUCUCUACUCGGCGCAGUGCACCCGGCGCGUAGCCGGCGCAGCGGCCCCUAAGGACCCAACGAACGGAGCGCGAGCCGCUCCGACCGCGACCCCAGGUCAGGCGGGACUACCCGCUGAGUUUAAGCAUAUCAAUAAGCGGAGGA
Molecule: unclassified non-coding RNA, 394 nt
Filed under: soil metagenome
Description: partial contains 5.8S ribosomal RNA, internal transcribed spacer 2, and large subunit ribosomal RNA
Rfam family: 5.8S ribosomal RNA (bases 1-122)
Source: RNAcentral